Molecule: transfer RNA, 72 nt
Filed under: Camelus bactrianus (Bactrian camel)
Lineage: Eukaryota; Metazoa; Chordata; Mammalia; Artiodactyla; Camelidae
Also listed under: 1 other name
Rfam family: tRNA
About the family: Transfer RNA (tRNA) molecules are approximately 80 nucleotides in length. Their secondary structure includes four short double-helical elements and three loops (D, anti-codon, and T loops).
Source: Rfam by way of RNAcentral
UGGGGUAUAGCUCAGUGGUAGAGCGCGUAUGUAGCAUUCAUGAGGUCCUGGGUUCAAUCUCUAGUACCUCCA